Small nucleolar RNA from Betta splendens (Siamese fighting fish), 125 nucleotides. Lineage: Eukaryota; Metazoa; Chordata; Actinopteri; Anabantiformes; Osphronemidae. The record is from Ensembl.
UGUCAAAGUGUUGAGUUCAGCCCUGCUGCUCGGUGCAGGUCUGAUAAUUAAACUUUGAAACAGAAACUGGCAGCAGAGAUGCAGGUGACAUGUGUACAUCUGAAGCCUCAGUGCUGCUCACAUCA